AUUGAUUGUGCUUGUGGUGCUAUGCUGUUUGUUCAUCAAAAAGUAUCACCAGAGGAAGAUGGGAUUACGGUGCAGAUUGGACCUCUGAACCAUUCUUUUUAAAAAUGGAGGUUAGAUGGCAGAAACUGGGUGAGAAGAUAAAUGAUUUAUCCAAAGUCAUACCACAAGAUCUGAACCAAGUUCUUCCAUCUCUAGCAUAAUCAAUAUUCUUUCCCCCUCCAUGACUCUUUAAGCCCUACAAAUGGAAACAGGAAAUUGGGACCUAAAAAAAUUUUUUUUUUGGAAAAUAUCUAAGAUGCCCUGGACACAAAAGAGGAAGAAGGAAACGUUGAUAAGACUUUGACAAACAAGAUGAUUUCAUUGUAGACAACUUUGAGAAAAUGUUUAUAGUUCAAAUAGACCAGGUCAUAGCUCAAAGGUAUAUGCUGACUUCAAUUUUGUCUCAACCAGUUCUCCUGUUAUAUUUCCUCUUUAAAUUGAAACCAGAUAAUGAUUGGAUCAUGAGAUUUAUAACUAAAAGUAGCUUUAGAGGUCUUUGAAUCUAACCUACUUUAUAUAGAUAAGGAAACAGAAGUCCCAAAGAAAUUGUUAUUCCCCAAAAGUCAGACUUAAAACCCCAGCCUUCUGGCAUGUUUUCUUCUAUUCUAUGAAUGUAGAAUAAUGAAGAAGAUACUGGACAUUAAGAAAAACUAGGUUCAAUUCUUAUUUCCAGCAUUUUAUAGGUAUGUGAUCAUGAAUAAGUUUCUAAACUUGUUUUCUCAUCUGUUAAAAGUAGAUAGCAACAGAUCUGCAAUUUAAAUGAAAGAACAUAAAUAAAGAACUUUGUAAAG
Molecule: long non-coding RNA, 830 nt
Filed under: Sarcophilus harrisii (Tasmanian devil)
Lineage: Eukaryota; Metazoa; Chordata; Mammalia; Dasyuromorphia; Dasyuridae
Description: lncRNA (ENSSHAG00000024331.1)
Source: RNAcentral